RNAcentral lists this transfer RNA (67 nucleotides) under Marmota monax (woodchuck). RNAcentral describes it as "tRNA.Ala". The record is from RNAcentral. Lineage: Eukaryota; Metazoa; Chordata; Mammalia; Rodentia; Sciuridae.
GGUUGUGGCUCAGCGGUAGAGUGCUCGUCUCGCAUGCCCGGCACCCUGGGUUCGAUCCUCAACACCA